GUAGUCCACGCCCUAAACUAUGUCGACUAGUUGUUGGGGGAGUCUGUCCCUCAGUAACGUAGCUAACGCGUGAAGUCGACCGCCUGGGGAGUACGGUCGCAAGAUUAAAACUCAAAGGAAUUGACGGGGACCCGCACAAGCGGUGGAUUAUGUGGAUUAAUUCGAUGCAACGCGAAGAACCUUACCUACCCUUGACAUGCCAGGAACCCCGCAGAGAUGCGGGGGUGCCCGAAAGGGAACCUGGACACAGGUGCUGCAUGGCUGUCGUCAGCUCGUGUCGUGAGAUGUUGGGUUAAGUCCCGCAACGAGCGCAACCCUUGCCAUUAGUUGCUACAUUCAGUUGGGCACUC
Molecule: ribosomal RNA, 350 nt
Filed under: uncultured bacterium
Lineage: Bacteria
Description: bacterial SSU rRNA
Rfam family: Bacterial small subunit ribosomal RNA
Source: RNAcentral